This 3566-nucleotide long non-coding RNA is filed under the name Anolis carolinensis (green anole). RNAcentral's name for it is "lncRNA (ENSACAG00000043042.1)". The record is from RNAcentral. Lineage: Eukaryota; Metazoa; Chordata; Lepidosauria; Squamata; Anolidae.
AUGGAUAUGAAGGAGACAGUGGGUAAUAGGCAAUCUACCUGUGACAAAAUUCUUUGCUUUGAAAAGUUUGCCAUGGGAGAAAAUAGUUUUAGAUUAGUUAUGGUAGAUGGAAAUUUGAUGAGACCAAAUGUAGUUUAUCAGUUGCCGAACAUAAGGACAGAUGCAAACUGUCCCAGUCCUUUUUCGGUAAGUGAUGCAGAAAGUUGUACCUGUGUAAACACUUUCAUGCCUCUGACUAGCUUCCCCUUCUCAGAUAUUAAGUAUUCAAACCUCAUUUACAUCCUUAUUUUUCAAUUUGCUGCCACAGUAGUUUAAUUUAUUCUAUAUAAUUUCUUUUUCUGAGGGGACAUUAAUCAUUGCCCCGUGCUUUUGGGUGCCUCUGGGAUAUGUGUGUGUGAGAGAGACUGUGUGUUUUAAAUCAAUAAAACAAAGAAACCGUCCCUCUUCUCCCCUCCCCACCCCAGCCCCUAUUCUCAUCUAGUACCCACCCACCCCAUUCUCCCCCUUUGCCGGAGGAGAGAAACGUAAUUUCUCUCUCAGUUCUUUUCAUUGUUUCCUAUGUUUGAAGAUUAAUUCCUCUCUGACAAGUGUGGGUGAGAAGGGAUAGUACAUACCGGCAUCAGAGACAGGUUUCCUUGCCAUACAGCUGAAGUCUAGAUAGACCCACUUUCUGAAGGAAAUGUAAAAUGGGCUUUAUUUUCUCUUUCUUUCUUAGAAAGGCACACCUUCUCAUCCUUUGUGGCUGUCAGAAUGAUAUACACACACACAGUGAGCCAUGAGGAGAGGCAGGUAACAAAUACAUAUUAUUAUUAUGAUUAUUGACACAACGACGUUGUAUGACACAGCAAACAAGAUAGAUAUGCUGGAUUUCGUAUAUUAUUAUUAUUAUUAUUAUUAUUAAUGUAUAUAUAUAUAUAUAUAUAUAUAUAUAUAUAUAUAUAUAUAAAAGGAGCCCCGGUGGCGAAGUGCUUUAAAGCACUGAGCUGGAGACCGAAAGGUCUCAGGUUCAAACCCCAGGAGCGGCGUGAGCGGUCGCUGUUAGCUCCAGCUCCUGCCAACCUAGCAGUUUGAAAACAUGCCAAUGUGAGUAGAUCAAUAGGUACUGCUCCGACGGGAAGGUAACGGCGCUCCAUGCAGUCAUGCCGGCCACAUGACUUUGGAGGUGUCUACGGACAACGCCGGCUCUUUGGCUUAGAAAUGGAGAUGAGCACCAACCCCCAGAGUCAGACAUGACUGGACUUAACGUCAGGGGAAACCUUUACCAUAUAUAUAUAUAUAUAUAUAUAUAUAUAUAUAUAUAUAUAUAUAUACACACACACACACACACACACACACACACACACACACACACACACACACGAUGCUAGGAUAUUAUUAAAUGGCCUAAGAAUUGCAACUAUGUGUGUGUUAUAGGAGGUUGACAUAGAUCAGAACUUCUAAAUUCAAGAAGAAUGUAAACAGAUCACUUAAUGCAGGGCUAGGCAGAUGUUGCAGGGCUGCAUAUUUCUUGCAAUCUAAGAAGAAGAAAAAGUCACAUUACAAAUAUUUUGCCCUCAUAUACACCUGAAUGCCUUCUAGGGGGCAUUGGGAACAUUUUUGAAAAAUAGAUUACCUAGGCCUAAAAUAUGUGAAAUCUUUCCUAUAGUGCAUUUGGGGGCAUCUGGGAAUAAUAAUAAUAAUAAUAAUAAUAAUAAUAAUAAUAAUAAUAAUAAUAAUAAUAGACAUUGACAAAAUCACGAUCUGCCAACUGCAAAAAGCCACCCUGCUGGGAUCUGCACGCAUCAUCCGAAAAUACAUCACACAGUCCUAGACACUUGGGAAGUGUUCGACUUGUGAUUUUGUGAAACGAAACCCAGCAUAUCUAUCUUGUUUGCUGUGUCAUACAACGUCGUUGUGUCAAUAAUAAUAAUAAUAAAUUUAUUCUUGUACCCUGCCUCUAUCUCCCCGCAGGGACUCAGGGUGGCUUACAAAUGCAAAACAAGUAUACAUACAUAAAACAUCAAAUACCAAAAACACACGAAUGAAAAUUAAAACAUACAAUUAAAAUCAAACCAUUAAUAAGACAAAGUUAAAACGCAGCAAUAAAAGAUAAGGAUGGGCUGAUCAAAGUGCACUAAGUGAGACUUGUAGACAUGGAGGAAGUUAAAAGUGCUAUAAGAACAUGGAGGAGAACCCAAAAGUGAGUUGAACUCUGAGGCUAUUAGAGAAAUUACCCAUGCGGAUGCAACCGAUCAAUGAUAACCAUUUGUACAAGAAUUUAACAUUCAAGAGGGUGGUACUUAUUCAAAAGCUUGUGUGAACAACCAAGUUUUCAGGCUUUUCCUAAACCCUUCCAGGUGGCAGCUAGCCGAAUUUCCAAUAGCCCUGGAUCCCACUUUGCCCACUCUUGCCCUAAUGGAAACUAAAUGGAGAACUGCUCAUAUUGAAUCAUCAUGACCAUACCCCACAAAGUGGGCAUGGGAAUGAAAGAGAAUUUUUGAAAAAAGCAAAAAAUUCACCUGCUGCUAAAAUUUACUCCCACAAAUAUUGCAUUAUUUGCUAGAGAAAAAGUUGUCCCACAGGUAAACUCAGAUGGCAUGCCACCCAUCUUUUUUUUCCUUUUUGAAAUUAUUUUAUUAAUUAUUUGACACAAGCAAUCUAAUAUGCAAUCAGAAAAUAUACAUUCAAAAAUAAUGGAAUGUGUCUAGAUCUGUAUUCAAAUGACAACUUGUACUAAAUAAGUAUACCAGCUACUUCUCCCCCCUCCAUAUCAUAUGCAGAAAUCCUAAUGUAAAUUUCUAAAAAAGAAACUCCUUGCAAGGAAGGGAAUAUAUCGUCAUGAUCAAGAGAAUUUCAGAAUACAGUAGAGUCUCACUAUCCAAGCUAAACGGGCUGGCAGAAGCUUGGAUAAGCGAAUAUCUUGGAUAAUAAGGAGGGAUUAAGGAAAAGCCUAUUAAACAUCAAAUUAGGUUAUGAUUUUACAAAUUAAGCACCAAAAUAUCAUGUUAUACAACAAAUUUGACAGAAAAAGUAGUUCAAUAUGCAGUAAUGUUAUGUUGUAAUUACUGUAUUUACGAAUUUAGCACCAAAAUAUCACGAUAUAUUGAAAACAUUGACUGCAAAAAUGGUUUGGAUUAUCCAGAGCCUUGGAUAAGCGAGGCUUGGAUAAGUGAGACUCUACUGUAUGUCUAAACACAUCAUGUUUACAUAUCACAUUAAUAAAAAAAAUAACCCCAUAAGAAUGGGAACAGGCAAUAAAAGUAUUUUCUUGUGGUUUGAGCUUUUUGACUGUUUUAUACACACCAGUACAGAUAACUAUACCUAUAAAAACCGAGUUUGCAUACAUUGAAAGAUGUUUAAAAUCAUAGUCAAAUGUUUCCUUAACAUUAUUCCAACAUAUUUAACCUUUUCAGGAAUCACUUAUUUCUAAUUUUGUGACAUUCCAGCUUGUCCAAAUAGCAUUAUGUAUUUCUUUUUCUUUAAAUAUUUUUUUCCUUUCCCUCUUCCUUUUUUUCUUUCCCCCCCCCCUUCCCUCCCCCCCCCCAAUCUUGUCUGCAUGGGGGACAAUAAUAACAGGCCAUUAGGAA